UAUUCAUCACAGAAUACAGGUGGUCACCAGGAGGAGAGGAAGUGUCUGUUUUAAUGUGAUAUUCAUCACAGAAUACAGGUGGUCACCAGGAGGAGAGGAAGUGUCUGUUUUAAUGUGAUAUUCAUCACAGAAUACAGGUGUAGUCACCAGGAGGAGAGGAAGUGUCUGUUUUAAUGUGAUAUUCAUCACAGAAUACAGGUGGUCACCAGGAGGAGAGGAAGUGUCUGUUUUAAUGUGAUAUUCAUCACAGAAGACAGGUGUAGUCACCAGGAGGAGAGGAAGUGUCUGUUUUAAUGUGAUAUUCAUCACAGAAUACAGGUGGUCACCAGGAGGAGAGGAAGUGUCUGUUUUAAUGUGAUAUUCAUCACAGAAGACAGGUGUAGUCACCAGGAGGAGAGGAAGUGUCUGUUUUAAUGUGAUAUUCAUCACAGAAGACAGGUGGUCACCAGGAGGAGAGGAAGUGUCUGUUUUAAUGUGAUAUUCAUCACAGAAUACAGGUGGUCACCAGGAGGAGAGGAAGUGUCUGUUUUAAUGUGAUAUUCAUCACAGAAUACAGGUCACCAGGAGGAGAGGAAGUGUCUGUUUUAAUGUGAUAUUCAUCACAGAAUACAGGUGGUCACCAGGAGGAGAGGAAGUGUCUGUUUUAAUGUGAUAUUCAUCACAGAAUACAGGUGUAGUCACCAGGAGGAGAGGAAGUGUCUGUUUUAAUGUGAUAUUCAUCACAGAAGACAGGUGUAGUCACCAGGAGGAGAGGAAGUGUCUGUUUUAAUGUGAUAUUCAUCACAGAAUACAGGUGGUCACCAGGAGGAGAGGAAGUGUCUGUUUUAAUGUGAUAUUCAUCACAGAAGACAGGUGUAGUCACCAGGAGGAGAGGAAGUGUCUGUUUUAAUGUGAUAUUCAUCACAGAAUACAGGUGGUCACCAGGAGGAGAGGAAGUGUCUGUUUUAAUGUGAUAUUCAUCACAGAAGACAGGUGGUCACCAGGAGGAGAGGAAGUGUCUGUUUUAAUGUGAUAUUCAUCACAGAAUACAGGUGGUCACCAGGAGGAGAGGAAGUGUCUGUUUUAAUGUGAUAUUCAUCACAGAAUACAGGUGGUCACCAGGAGGAGAGGAAGUGUCUGUUUUAAUGUGAUAUUCAUCACAGAAUACAGGUGUAGUCACCAGGAGGAGAGGAAGUGUCUGUUUUAAUGUGAUAUUCAUCACAGAAUACAGGUGUAGUCACCAGGAGGAGAGGAAGUGUCUGUUUUAAUGUGAUAUUCAUCACAGAAGACAGGUGGUCACCAGGAGGAGAGGAAGAGUCUGUUUUAAUGUGAUAUUCAUCACAGAAUACAGGUGUAGUCACCAGGAGGAGAGGAAGUGUCUGUUUUAAUGUGAUAUUCAUCACAGAAUACAGGUGGUCACCAGGAGGAGAGGAAGAGUCUGUUUUAAUGUGAUAUUCAUCACAGAAUACAGGUGGUCACCAGGAGGAGAGGAAGUGUCUGUUUUAAUGUGAUAUUCAUCACAGAAGACAGGUGGUCACCAGGAGGAGAGGAAGCGUCUGUUUUAAUGUGAUAUUCAUCACAGAAUACAGGUGGUCACCAGGAGGAGAGGAAGUGUCUGUUUUAAUGUGAUAUUCAUCACAGAAUACAGGUGGUCACCAGGAGGAGAGGAAGUGUCUGUUUUAAUGUGAUAUUCAUCACAGAAUACAGGUGGUCACCAGGAGGAGAGGAAGUGUCUGUUUUAAUGUGAUAUUCAUCACAGAAUACAGGUGGUCACCAGGAGGAGAGGAAGUGUCUGUUUUAAUGUGAUAUUCAUCACAGAAUACAGGUGGUCACCAGGAGGAGAGGAAGUGUCUGUUUUAAUGUGAUAUUCAUCACAGAAUACAGGUGGUCACCAGGAGGAGAGGAAGUGUCUGUUUUAAUGUGAUAUUCAUCACAGAAUACAGGUGGUCACCAGGAGGAGAGGAAGUGUCUGUUUUAAUGUGAUAUUCAUCACAGAAUACAGGUGGUCACCAGGAGGAGAGGAAGUGUCUGUUUUAAUGUGAUAUUCAUCACAGAAUACAGGUGGUCACCAGGAGGAGAGGAAGUGUCUGUUUUAAUGUGAUAUUCAUCACAGAAUACAGGUGUAGUCACCAGGAGGAGAGGAAGUGUCUGUUUUAAUGUGAUAUUCAUCACAGAAUACAGGUAGUCACCAGGAGGAGAGGAAGUGUCUGUUUUAAUGUGAUAUUCAUCACAGAAUACAGGUGGUCACCAGGAGGAGAGGAAGUGUCUGUUUUAAUGUGAUAUUCAUCACAGAAUACAGGUGGUCACCAGGAGGAGAGGAAGUGUCUGUUUUAAUGUGAUAUUCAUCACAGAAUACAGGUGGUCACCAGGAGGAGAGGAAGUGUCUGUUUUAAUGUGAUAUUCAUCACAGAAUACAGGUGGUCACCAGGAGGAGAGGAAGUGUCUGUUUUAAUGUGAUAUUCAUCACAGAA
Oncorhynchus keta (chum salmon) is the source of this 2450-nucleotide long non-coding RNA. RefSeq lists it as uncharacterized. The record is from RefSeq and is a predicted model, not a curated record. Lineage: Eukaryota; Metazoa; Chordata; Actinopteri; Salmoniformes; Salmonidae. The transcript has 6 exons.